GGUUAAGUUAGAAAGGGCGCACGGUGGAUGCCUUGACACUAGGAGUCGAUGAAGGACGGGACUAACGCCGAUAUGCUUCGGGGAGCUGUAAGUAAGCUUUGAUCCGAAGAUUUCCGAAUGGGGAAACCCACCAUACGUAAUGGUAUGGUAUCCUUAUCUGAAUACAUAGGGUAAGGAAGACAGACCCAGGGAACUGAAACAUCUAAGUACCUGGAGGAAGAGAAAGCAAAUGCGAUUUCCUGAGUAGCGGCGAGCGAAACGGAACAUAGCCCAAACCAAGAGGCUUGCCUCUUGGGGUUGUAGGACAUUCUAUACGGAGUUACAAAGGAACGAGGUAGACGAAGCGACCUGGAAAGGUCCGUCGUAGAGGGUAACAACCCCGUAGUCGAAACUUCGUUCUCUCUUGAAUGUAUCCUGAGUACGGCGGAACACGUGAAAUUCCGUCGGAAUCUGGGAGGACCAUCUCCCAAGGCUAAAUACUCCCUAGUGAUCGAUAGUGAACCAGUACCGUGAGGGAAAGGUGAAAAGCACCCCGGAAGGGGAGUGAAAGAGAUCCUGAAACCGUGUGCCUACAAAUAGUCAGAGCCCGUUAACGGGUGAUGGCGUGCCUUUUGUAGAAUGAACCGGCGAGUUACGAUCCCGUGCGAGGUUAAGCUGAAGAGGCGGAGCCGCAGCGAAAGCGAGUCUGAAUAGGGCGUUUAGUACGUGGUCGUAGACCCGAAACCAGGUGAUCUACCCAUGUCCAGGGUGAAGUUCAGGUAACACUGAAUGGAGGCCCGAACCCACGCACGUUGAAAAGUGCGGGGAUGAGGUGUGGGUAGCGGAGAAAUUCCAAUCGAACCUGGAGAUAGCUGGUUCUCCCCGAAAUAGCUUUAGGGCUAGCCUUAAGUGUAAGAGUCUUGGAGGUAGAGCACUGAUUGGACUAGGGGUCCUCAUCGGAUUACCGAAUUCAGUCAAACUCCGAAUGCCAAUGACUUAUCCUUAGGAGUCAGACUGCGAGUGAUAAGAUCCGUAGUCAAAGGGAAACAGCCCAGACCGCCAGCUAAGGUCCCAAAGUGUGUAUUAAGUGGAAAAGGAUGUGGAGUUGCUUAGACAACUAGGAUGUUGGCUUAGAAGCAGCCACCAUUUAAAGAGUGCGUAAUAGCUCACUAGUCGAGUGACUCUGCGCCGAAAAUGUACCGGGGCUAAAUACACCACCGAAGCUGCGGAUUGAUACCAAUGGUAUCAGUGGUAGGGGAGCGUUCUAAGGACAGUGAAGUCAGACCGAAAGGACUGGUGGAGUGCUUAGAAGUGAGAAUGCCGGUAUGAGUAGCGAAAGACGGGUGAGAAUCCCGUCCACCGAAUGCCUAAGGUUUCCUGAGGAAGGCUCGUCCGCUCAGGGUUAGUCAGGACCUAAGCCAAGGCCGACAGGCGUAGGCGAUGGACAACAGGUUGAUAUUCCUGUACCACCUCUUUAUCGUUUGAGCAAUGGAGGGACGCAGAAGGAUAGAAGAAGCGUGCGAUUGGUUGUGCACGUCCAAGCAGUUAGGCUGAUAAGUAGGCAAAUCCGCUUAUCGUAAAGGCUGAGCUGUGAUGGGAAGCUCCUUAUGGAGCGAAGUCUUUGAUUCCCCGCUGCCAAGAAAAGCUUCUAGCGAGAUAAAAGGUGCCUGUACCGCAAACCGACACAGGUAGGCGAGGAGAGAAUCCUAAGGUGUGCGAGAGAACUCUGGUUAAGGAACUCGGCAAAAUGACCCCGUAACUUCGGGAGAAGGGGUGCUUUCUUAACGGAAAGCCGCAGUGAAUAGGCCCAAGCGACUGUUUAGCAAAAACACAGCUCUCUGCGAAGCCGUAAGGCGAAGUAUAGGGGUGACACCUGCCCGGUGCUGGAAGGUUAAGGAGAGGGGUUAGCGUAAGCGAAGCUCUGAACUGAAGCCCCAGUAAACGGCGGCCGUAACUAUAACGGUCCUAAGGUAGCGAAAUUCCUUGUCGGGUAAGUUCCGACCCGCACGAAAGGUGUAACGAUUUGGGCACUGUCUCAACCAGAGACUCGGUGAAAUUAUAGUACCUGUGAAGAUGCAGGUUACCCGCGACAGGACGGAAAGACCCCGUGGAGCUUUACUGUAGCCUGAUAUUGAAUUUUGGUACAGUUUGUACAGGAUAGGCGGGAGCCUUUGAAACCGGAGCGCUAGCUUCGGUGGAGGCGCUGGUGGGAUACCGCCCUGACUGUAUUGAAAUUCUAACCUACGGGUCUUAUCGACCCGGGAGACAGUGUCAGGUGGGCAGUUUGACUGGGGCGGUCGCCUCCUAAAGUGUAACGGAGGCGCCCAAAGGUUCCCUCAGAAUGGUUGGAAAUCAUUCGUAGAGUGCAAAGGCAUAAGGGAGCUUGACUGCGAGACCUACAAGUCGAGCAGGGACGAAAGUCGGGCUUAGUGAUCCGGUGGUUCCGCAUGGAAGGGCCAUCGCUCAACGGAUAAAAGCUACCCCGGGGAUAACAGGCUUAUCUCCCCCAAGAGUCCACAUCGACGGGGAGGUUUGGCACCUCGAUGUCGGCUCAUCGCAUCCUGGGGCUGUAGUCGGUCCCAAGGGUUGGGCUGUUCGCCCAUUAAAGCGGUACGCGAGCUGGGUUCAGAACGUCGUGAGACAGUUCGGUCCCUAUCCGUCGUGGGCGUAGGAAAUUUGAGAGGAGCUGUCCUUAGUACGAGAGGACCGGGAUGGACGCACCGCUGGUGUACCAGUUGUUCUGCCAAGGGCAUAGCUGGGUAGCUAUGUGCGGAAGGGAUAAGUGCUGAAAGCAUCUAAGCAUGAAGCCCCCCUCAAGAUGAGAUUUCCCAUAGCGUAAGCUAGUAAGAUCCCUGAAAGAUGAUCAGGUUGAUAGGUUCGAGGUGGAAGCAUGGUGACAUGUGGAGCUGACGAAUACUAAUAGAUCGAGGACUUAACCAU
This 2919-nucleotide ribosomal RNA is filed under the name Bacillus pacificus. RNAcentral describes it as "23S ribosomal RNA". It matches the Rfam family "Bacterial large subunit ribosomal RNA". Lineage: Bacteria; Bacillati; Bacillota; Bacilli; Caryophanales; Bacillaceae. The record is from RNAcentral.